Long non-coding RNA from Gasterosteus aculeatus aculeatus (three-spined stickleback), 485 nucleotides. Lineage: Eukaryota; Metazoa; Chordata; Actinopteri; Perciformes; Gasterosteidae. The record is from Ensembl.
CUUGCACAUCUGUACAGCGUGUGCUGCCCACGCGGUGCAGAGUGGAUUGCCUGCACAGACAGGCAGAUUAACCCCACCCUCGGUGAGCCCGAUGGAAACCAGCCCGUGGGUAAUUACGAGAUGCGUUUUGCUAUCAUGCUUUUGGCUUUUCAACCAGGAUUCAAGACCAGCUUGGACUCAGUCUUAGAGCCCUUUCCAGAAUUGAUUGAAACCGGGGGUUAUUUUUAUCUGGGGGCGUCUUCCCCGUCGCCUCAUCUGAUGAAGACUGGACCUUCCCCCGAGCCUCCAGAACCGAUCCUCCUUAUUCCAGAUGCUCCCCGCUCCUGUUGCCAUGGAAAUCUGUGGCAUACAUUCUCCUAACCUAAUUCCAUUGGGCCUCAGACAAGAGCUCACACGGUAACCUGGCAGCCCGCCGCGUACCAGCAAAUUGCACCUCUGGAGAAAACGCCCAACGGGCGGGACGGAAACGGGAAGUGAAGCUCCGC